CAUUUAUAAUGAAUUUGUAUUAAGGAAGAUGAGAGCACUUAAUUUUAUGCAAUAUUUUUAAGUCCUUUCUUUGCAGGCAAUCAUAGAACCGUUCUUCAAAGCAUCCAAAGUCACUGAAAGAUGACGAAAAUAUGAAGACUGUAAGCAGAUUGAUUUCUGAAGGCUUGCAGUAUAGAAGAAGCUGAAAAUGGGCAUGAGAGAGAACAAGAGGAAAUGCAACAUGGUACUUUCAAAACUAAUCAGUCGGGAGAAUUAUUGCAAACCUAGAUCUCUGCAGGGAGGAAACUGCACAGAAAGCAGUAAUGACUGAAAUGACCAGAGAUGACAGUGUAUAUAAAAAUGAGUGACUCAGGAAGAAGGGAAACUGAAUAAUGUGCAGGAUUCAAGCAGCAGCAGUAUUUGUGUAUAAGGAUGACUCCUCAACAAGCGUGUAAAAGACUGUUGUGGUUACCUCCCAUGGAUCUUUUCUAUCUAGCUGUGGCUGCGGAUGGCGGGGAGCAUGGUGUCACCUUUCCUAUCACAGGAAGAAGGACCAGGACAUAAACUAACAGCUGCCAGGGAAGGGCUGUGACCUAGACCUUACAUUAAAAGCUCUUCAAAAGGCAACAGCAUCAAGCAUGCUGUGGGAACAAAUAUUGUGAUGCAGCUGAAUGUCAUUGGGAAGCAAGGUACUGUAUAUCAGCCCUACAUAAUGAAUGCAAAUUGUAUUUUUAGGAUCCAAAUGGGAAAGCAUAAAAGGCUACAAAAGCUUUAAUUUAUGAUUUAUUCAUUUAAAGCUUCAGGCCAUUAAGUACCCAUUAAAUAACUAUUUUAUAUGCUGCUAAGUGCAUCUCUAUCGUCAGAAUAAAAAGAUUGUUUUAGUUCA
This 865-nucleotide long non-coding RNA is filed under the name Anser brachyrhynchus (Pink-footed goose). RNAcentral's name for it is "lncRNA (ENSABRG00000014968.1)". Lineage: Eukaryota; Metazoa; Chordata; Aves; Anseriformes; Anatidae. The record is from RNAcentral.